This 112-nucleotide small nuclear RNA is filed under the name Strongylocentrotus purpuratus (purple sea urchin). RNAcentral describes it as "U5 spliceosomal RNA". It matches the Rfam family "U5 spliceosomal RNA". From Rfam's summary of the family: U5 RNA is a component of both types of known spliceosome. The precise function of this molecule is unknown, though it is known that the 5' loop is required for splice site selection and p220 binding, and that both the 3' stem-loop and the Sm site are important for Sm protein binding and cap methylation. The record is from Rfam by way of RNAcentral. Lineage: Eukaryota; Metazoa; Echinodermata; Echinoidea; Camarodonta; Strongylocentrotidae.
AUCCGUGGGUUCACUGCAACACGCACAAAUCUUUCGCCUUUUACUAAAGAUUUCCGUGCAGAGGAGCGCUAUGAUCUGUAUACAACAAUGAUUGCCUCGUUUUCGGAUGAGG